GAUGAACGCUGGCGGCGUGCCUAAUACAUGCAAGUCGAGCGAACAGACGAGGAGCUUGCUCCUUUGACGUUAGCGGCGGACGGGUGAGUAACACGUAGGUAACCUACCUAUAAGACUGGGAUAACUUCGGGAAACCGGAGCUAAUACCGGAUAAUAUUUCGAACCUCAUGGUUCGAUAGUGAAAGAUGGCUUUGCUAUCACUUAUAGAUGGACCUGCGCCGUAUUAGCUAGUUGGUAAGGUAACGGCUUACCAAGGCAACGAUACGUAGCCGACCUGAGAGGGUGAUCGGCCACACUGGAACUGAGACACGGUCCAGACUCCUACGGGAGGCAGCAGUAGGGAAUCUUCCGCAAUGGGCGAAAGCCUGACGGAGCAACGCCGCGUGAGUGAUGAAGGUCUUCGGAUCGUAAAACUCUGUUAUUAGGGAAGAACAAACGUGUAAGUAACUGUGCACGUCUUGACGGUACCUAAUCAGAAAGCCACGGCUAACUACGUG
RNAcentral lists this ribosomal RNA (497 nucleotides) under uncultured bacterium. Its description in RNAcentral is "partial 16S ribosomal RNA". It matches the Rfam family "Bacterial small subunit ribosomal RNA", at positions 28 to 507 of the family's 1533-position model. The record is from RNAcentral.